CCCUUUCUACCGAACUGAGGGAAGAAGUACCAUCAGUCUUUUGCCGAGGGAUGAUGCUUGAAGGUGUAGAAAUUCCUAAACAAAGAAAGAGUCGGCCGAACUCCAGCUAAACUACAAAGAGAAAAAAAUCCUAUCAAAAACCUAAAGGAGUUCGGCGCUACUGAGACUAGAGAAAUAUUCAGAAAAUAAAAGAGAGCGACGACAAA
RNAcentral lists this long non-coding RNA (206 nucleotides) under Elaeis guineensis (African oil palm). Its description in RNAcentral is "long non-coding RNA (EGUI_LNC040569)". Lineage: Eukaryota; Viridiplantae; Streptophyta; Magnoliopsida; Arecales; Arecaceae. The record is from RNAcentral.